CGUAGGUGGCAAGCGUUAUCCGGAAUUAUUGGGCGUAAAAGCGCGCGUAGGCGGUUUCUUAAGUCUGAUGUGAAAGCCCAACGGCGUCAACCGUGGAGGGUCAUUGGAAACUGGGAAACUUGAGUACAGAAGAGGAAAGUGGAAUUCCGAUGUGUAGCGGUGAAAUGCGCAAGAGAUAUGGAGGAACACCAGUGCGAAGGCGACUUUCUGGUCUGUAACUGACGCUGAUGUGCGAAAGCGUGGGAGUCAAACAGGAUU
This 258-nucleotide ribosomal RNA is filed under the name uncultured bacterium. Its description in RNAcentral is "partial 16S ribosomal RNA". It matches the Rfam family "Bacterial small subunit ribosomal RNA", at positions 526 to 779 of the family's 1533-position model. The record is from RNAcentral.